UAAUAAUUCUUGAGAUGUCUUUCCCCUA
Molecule: non-coding RNA, 28 nt
Filed under: Rattus norvegicus (Norway rat)
Lineage: Eukaryota; Metazoa; Chordata; Mammalia; Rodentia; Muridae
Source: RNAcentral